This 88-nucleotide transfer RNA is filed under the name Acidipropionibacterium virtanenii. RNAcentral's name for it is "tRNA-Gly". The record is from RNAcentral. Lineage: Bacteria; Bacillati; Actinomycetota; Actinomycetes; Propionibacteriales; Propionibacteriaceae.
GGCGGUACGGGAGCCGGAUGCGAGCGCGGCCGCCUGCCGUGCGGCCGACGCGAGCGCCGUCUCGGUGUUCAGUGCGGCGCGCCGCCGC